GUGCCAGUUGUUUUCCCGUUGGAGGUCCAUCACAUUGCGGUAGUUCAGACAUCUGUGGGGGCCGUUGUUUCAUCACGGGGAAAAGAUAUUCUUUGUGCACCACGGAGGGCGCGUAGAAAACCCAACAUAAAAUAUAUCAUCUUAUUUGAUUAAUUUAAAUAAUUAUUAUUUUUUAAUAUAUAUUUAAUAUUUAAAAAUUAAUUUUUUUAUUUAAAAAUUAUAUAUAAU
RNAcentral lists this long non-coding RNA (228 nucleotides) under Elaeis guineensis (African oil palm). RNAcentral describes it as "long non-coding RNA (EGUI_LNC028846)". The record is from RNAcentral. Lineage: Eukaryota; Viridiplantae; Streptophyta; Magnoliopsida; Arecales; Arecaceae.